RNAcentral lists this ribosomal RNA (384 nucleotides) under uncultured Bacillota bacterium. Its description in RNAcentral is "bacterial SSU rRNA". It matches the Rfam family "Bacterial small subunit ribosomal RNA", at positions 958 to 1392 of the family's 1533-position model. Lineage: Bacteria; Bacillati; Bacillota. The record is from RNAcentral.
AACGCGAAGAACCUUACCAGGUUGACACCUGACCGGUAGAGAUAGGCCUUCUGGGACAGAGGAGACAGGUGGUGCAUGGUUGGAGCGUGGUGAGAUGUUGGGUUAAGCCGCAACGAGCGCAACCCUUGAUGUUAGUUGCCAGCAGGUAGAGCUGGGCACUAACGUGACUGCCGGUGACAAACCGGAGGAAGGUGGGGAUGACGAAAAAUGCCCCUUAUGACCUGGGCUACACACGUACUACAAUGGCCAGUACAACGGGAAGCGAAACCGCGAGGUGGAGCGAACAAAAAGCUGGAGUGGAUUGCAGGCUGCAACGCCUGCAUGAAGGGAAUUGCUAGUAAGCGGAAGCAUGCCGCGGUGAAUACGUCCGGGUUGUACACACCG